Molecule: ribosomal RNA, 500 nt
Filed under: uncultured bacterium
Lineage: Bacteria
Description: partial 16S ribosomal RNA
Rfam family: Bacterial small subunit ribosomal RNA
Source: RNAcentral
GACGAACGCUGGCGGCGUGCUUAACACAUGCAAGUCGAACGGGUCUGCCCUGUUUUUUGCGGGGUGGGUCAGUGGCGAACGGGUGAGUAACACGUGAGUAACCUGCCCCUCACUUCUGGAUAACCGCUUGAAAGGGUGGCUAAUACGGGGUGUUCUGGCUGUGCCGCAUGGUGUGGCUGGGAAAGAUUCACUUUUGUGGUGUUUUGGUGGGGGAUGGGCUCGCGGCCUAUCAGCUUGUUGGUGGGGUGAUGGCCUGCCAAGGCUAUGACGGGUAGCCGGCCGGAGAGGGUGGGCGGUCACACUGGGGCGGAGAUACGGCCCAGACUCCGGCGGGAGGCAGCAGUGGGGGGUAUUGCACAAUGGGCGGAAGGCUGAUGCAGCGACGUCGCGUGAGGGAUGGAGGCCUUCGGGUUGUGAACCUCUUUCGCCGGUGAAGAAGGUCCUGCUCUUUGUGGUGGGGUUGACGGUAGCCGGGUUAUGAAGCGCCGGCUAACUACGUG